UGGGGAAUAUUGGACAAUGGGCGAAAGCCUGAUCCAGCCAUGCCGCGUGUGUGAAGAAGGUCUUCGGAUUGUAAAGCACUUUAAGUUGGGAGGAAGGGUUGUAGAUUAAUACUCUGCAAUUUUGACGUUACCGACAGAAUAAGCACCGGCUAACUCUGUGCCAGCAGCCGCGGUAAUACAGAGGGUGCAAGCGUUAAUCGGAAUUACUGGGCGUAAAGCGCGCGUAGGUGGUUUGUUAAGUUGGAUGUGAAAGCCCCGGGCUCAACCUGGGAACUGCAUCCAAAACUGGCAAGCUAGAGUAUGGUAGAGGGUGGUGGAAUUUCCUGUGUAGCGGUGAAAUGCGUAGAUAUAGGAAGGAACACCAGUGGCGAAGGCGACCACCUGGACUGAUACUGACACUGAGGUGCGAAAAGCGUGGGGAGCAAACAGGAUUAGAUACCCCCGUAGUCCCUGAGCGGGCUGGCAAGGCGCAU
Molecule: ribosomal RNA, 473 nt
Filed under: uncultured bacterium
Lineage: Bacteria
Description: bacterial SSU rRNA
Rfam family: Bacterial small subunit ribosomal RNA
Source: RNAcentral